CCCUGUAGCCAUACCACCUUGGGCUUUGAUCUUUUCAGAUCUCUCAGACUGAGCAGGAUCAUUCCUUGUCUGCUCUUGGCUGGGUGUCCUCCAGGGAAAACACAGGUGCUGUAGGAA
Ribosomal RNA from Chrysemys picta bellii (western painted turtle), 117 nucleotides. The record is from Ensembl. Lineage: Eukaryota; Metazoa; Chordata; Testudines; Emydidae.